GUUUUAACACUGGUUCGCUAUGCAGCAUACCCUAUGCUUGUAAAUGAAUACAGACUAGAGAUUCAAUUCAAGAAAGUUAGGAAGGUGCGAAAUAUUAACAACAUUCCAAUGGUCGGGUGCACCAAUGGUUUGCUAGUCCAAUGCUCUACCCCCAAUGUAGACUUGCCACAAGUCCGUCUCACCAUUCUUCCCUAAUCCCUAGCUUUUUAUUGGGUGAGUAAAGAGGAACCGCGCGCGCGAAAUAAAAAUGAAUGCUUUGAAUGGGAUUUUGCGAAAGUCUAUAUAACCCCAAUGCUGUGCCGCUCUACAACAAUGCUCUACCAACUCAGCUACGACGUCAAUUAGUCCGUGGAGUGGUUGAUAUUUCUUAUGGCUUAAAUCUUAAUUAUGAUCGCGAGAUUACAGCUGAGAUAAUUAUAAAGGACGC
Non-coding RNA from Paramuricea clavata, 427 nucleotides. The record is from the annotation of a GenBank genome assembly. NCBI's taxonomy places the organism in Eukaryota, Metazoa, Cnidaria, Anthozoa, Malacalcyonacea, Plexauridae.